ACCUCCCAACCCCUGUGACAUACCACUUGUUGCCUCGGCGGAUCAGCCCGCUCCCGGUAAAACGGGACGGCCCGCCAGAGGACCCCUAAACUCUGUUUCUAUAUGUAACUUCUGAGUAAAACCAUAAAUAAAUCAAAACUUUCAACAACGGAUCUCUUGGUUCUGGCAUCGAUGAAGAACGCAGCAAAAUGCGAUAAGUAAUGUGAAUUGCAGAAUUCAGUGAAUCAUCGAAUCUUUGAACGCACAUUGCGCCCGCCAGUAUUCUGGCGGGCAUGCCUGUUCGAGCGUCAUUUCAACCCUCAAGCACAGCUUGGUGUUGGGACUCGCGUUAAUUCGCGUUCCCCAAAUUGAUUGGCGGUCACGUCGAGCUUCCAUAGCGUAGUAGUAAAACCCUCGUUACUGGUAAUCGUCGCGGCCACGCCGUUAAACCCCAACUUCUGAAUGUUGACCUCGGAUCAGGUAGGAAUACCCGCUGAACUUAAGCAUAUCAAUAAGCGGAGGGAAAAGAAA
RNAcentral lists this ribosomal RNA (510 nucleotides) under Fusarium oxysporum. Its description in RNAcentral is "eukaryotic LSU rRNA". The stretch from base 137 to 290 matches the Rfam family "5.8S ribosomal RNA". The record is from RNAcentral. Lineage: Eukaryota; Fungi; Ascomycota; Sordariomycetes; Hypocreales; Nectriaceae.